UCAGGGUGAAGUUAGCAUUCUGCUUCUUUCACAGCUGAGCUGGGUGCCUCUCUCACACCCUAGAUCCUCUGUUACCCUUUGCCAUGGCCACCAGCGUCAGACAAUAUUCUUCUUCGACCUCCCUGAAGGGGCUGGGUGGCUUUGGUGGUGGUUCCAGCCGAGGGUCCUCAGUGCGUCUCAGUGGAGGCGCCUACAGAGCUCCAACUAUCCAUGGGGGAUCUGGUGGCUACUCAGUUUCUUCCUCUCGAAUGAUUUCUGGUGUUGGAAGUGGUAUGGGCGGUGGCUAUGGAGGGAGCUACUGUAGCAGUGUGGGAGGAGGCUUUGGUGGUGGCAGCUUCGGUGGUGGCAGCUUUGGUGGUGGCAGCUUCGGUGGUGGCAGCUUUGGUGGUGGAUUUGGUGGUGGACUUGGCAGUGGCUUUGGUGGUGGCUCUGGCGGUGGAUUUGGCAGUGGCUUUGGUGGGCCCUUUGUGGGAGGCGAUGGCAUUCUCCCUGCUGGGGAGAAGGAAACCAUGCAGAACCUGAACGACCGCCUGGCUGCCUACCUGGACAAGGUGCGCGCUCUGGAGGAGGCCAACAGUGAGCUGGAGAUUAAGAUCAGGGACUGGUAUAAGAAGCAAGGCCCUGGUCCAGACCGUGACUACAGCCCAUACUACAGGACCAUCGAGGAUCUGAGGAACAAGAUCCUUGCUGCAACUGUUGACAAUGCCAACCUCAUCUUGCAGAUUGACAAUGCCAGGCUGGCAGCUGAUGACUUCAGAACCAAGUUUGAGACUGAGCAGGCCCUGCGCAUGAGUGUUGAGGCUGACAUCAAUGGCCUGCGUAGAGUCCUGGAUGAGCUGACCCUGGCCAGAGCUGACUUGGAGAUGCAGAUUGAGAAUCUGAAGGAGGAGCUGGCUUACCUCAAGAAGAACCAUGAGGAGGAAAUGAAUGCCUUACGUGGCCAAGUGGGUGGAGAAAUCAAUGUGGAGAUGGAUGCUGCUCCAGGAGUUGACCUGACCAAGAUCCUGGCUGAAAUGCGAGAACAGUACGAGCACCUGGCUGACAAGAACCGCAGAGAGGCUGAGCAGUGGUUCUUCAAGCAGACAGAAGAACUAAACAAAGAAGUCGCCAUCAACACAGAACAGCUUCAGAGCGGCAAGAGCGAGAUCACGGAGCUCCGGCGCACCAUCCAGGGGUUGGAAAUCGAGCUUCAGUCCCAGCUCAGCACGAAAGCCGCCCUGGAAGGCACCUUGGCUGACACAGAAGCCCGCUACGGCUCCCAGCUGGCGCAGAUCCAGGGCAUGAUCACCAGCGUGGAGGAGCAGCUGGCUGAGCUCCGGUGUGACAUGGAGCGGCAGAACCACGAGUACAAGAUCCUCCUGGAUGUCAAGUGCCGGCUGGAACAGGAGAUCGCUACAUACCGCCGCCUGCUGGAGGGCGAGGAUGUCCAGUACGUGAAUGGAGUUGACUAGAUAGAAUGACAUGGGGCAGGGAGAAGCCUCUGAACUCACUGUGUUCCCUAGAAGGCUCUCUUUGAAAUAAUUACCUGUGGAUCAUGAGCAGUUGAUUAAACCAAGAAGGGAUCGAACAAUGACCUAUCUCCUAUUAGCAUCCUUUGUAAGAGGAUGUAUUUAUUGUCUGCACUACGUAAUGGCUGGCACUGUAGUUUGAGUGGUUAGAGCCAAGACCUGAGAAUAAGAAGGUUGGGGUUUUUUUGCCUUAGUUGUGAUGCUAGCACACUGUGUAAGCUUAAACCCUGAAUUUCAUUCUUAUUUUUCCCGUUUGUAAAAAGGCCUAGGCCACAAAGGUCUGCCUCACUUGAGCACUGGGAGGGACUGUGGGGAGGGGUGGAAUUUAUGUGUAUUGGUGAACUUAGUGAUGCUCAGACCUUUCUGCAAAGGUUUUUCCUCUUGCUGUUAGGAUACUGGUGUAUGUCAGGGAGAAUCCAUUAGCUUGUUGCAAGCAGUGAAAAACAAUCUCAGAACAAAUAUUGUCAGAUACUCUUCUAAAAUAAUGAUUUCCCUGGUUUGGGGUAUAAGGUUUU
Gavialis gangeticus (Gharial) is the source of this 2023-nucleotide RNA transcript. It is a transcript of the gene named keratin, type I cytoskeletal 14, with no coding region annotated. The transcript has 7 exons. Lineage: Eukaryota; Metazoa; Chordata; Crocodylia; Gavialidae. The record is from RefSeq and is a predicted model, not a curated record.